GCACUGCUGACGAGUCCCAAGCCAGACGAAACAGCUGUCCAGUGC
Molecule: non-coding RNA, 45 nt
Filed under: Echinostoma caproni
Lineage: Eukaryota; Metazoa; Platyhelminthes; Trematoda; Plagiorchiida; Echinostomatidae
Source: RNAcentral